UAAGACGGAGUACGAUAAACAUAAGUUAAU
This 30-nucleotide non-coding RNA is filed under the name Rattus norvegicus (Norway rat). Lineage: Eukaryota; Metazoa; Chordata; Mammalia; Rodentia; Muridae. The record is from RNAcentral.